Molecule: ribosomal RNA, 398 nt
Filed under: uncultured bacterium
Lineage: Bacteria
Description: bacterial SSU rRNA
Rfam family: Bacterial small subunit ribosomal RNA
Source: RNAcentral
GGAAUAUUGGACGAUGGGCGAAAGCCUGAUCCAGCCAUGCCGCGUGAGUGAUGAAGGCCUUAGGGUUGUAAAGUCCUUUCGACGGGGAAGAUAAUGACGGUACCCGUAGAAGAAGCCCCGGCGAACUUCGUACCAGCAGCCGCGGUAAUACGAAGGGGGCUAGCGUUGCUCGGAAUUACUGGGCGUAAAGCGCACGUAGGCGGAUUUUUAAGUCGGGGGUGAAAUCCUGGAGCUCAACUCCAGAACUGCCUUCGAAACUGAAAGUCUUGAGUUCGGGAGAGGUGAGUGGAACUGCGAGUGUAGAGGUGAAAUUCGUAGAUAUUCGCAAGAACACCAGUGGCGAAGGCGGCUCACUGGCCCGAUACUGACGCUGAGGUGCGAAAGCGUGGGGAGCAAAC